RNAcentral lists this ribosomal RNA (497 nucleotides) under uncultured bacterium. RNAcentral's name for it is "partial 16S ribosomal RNA". It matches the Rfam family "Bacterial small subunit ribosomal RNA", at positions 28 to 507 of the family's 1533-position model. The record is from RNAcentral.
GAUGAACGCUGGCGGCGUGCCUAAUACAUGCAAGUCGAGCGAACAGAUAAGGAGCUUGCUCCUUUGACGUUAGCGGCGGACGGGUGAGUAACACGUGGGUAACCUACCUAUAAGACUGGGAUAACUUCGGGAAACCGGAGCUAAUACCGGAUAAUAUUUCGAACCGCAUGGUUCGAUAGUGAAAGACGGUUUUGCUAUCACUUAUAGAUGGACCCGCGCCGUAUUAGCUAGUUGGUAAGGUAACGGCUUACCAAGGCGACGAUACGUAGCCGACCUGAGAGGGUGAUCGGCCACACUGGAACUGAGACACGGUCCAGACUCCUACGGGAGGCAGCAGUAGGGAAUCUUCCGCAAUGGGCGAAAGCCUGACGGAGCAACGCCGCGUGAGUGAUGAAGGUCUUCGGAUCGUAAAACUCUGUUAUUAGGGAAGAACAUACGUGUAAGUAACUGUGCACGUCUUGACGGUACCUAAUCAGAAAGCCACGGCUAACUACGUG